AUUGAACGCUGGCGGCAUGCUUUACACAUGCAAGUCGAACGGUAACGCGGGGCAACCUGGCGACGAGUGGCGAACGGGUGAGUAAUGCAUCGGAACGUGCCCGGUCGUGGGGGAUAACUGCUCGAAAGAGCAGCUAAUACCGCAUACGCCCUGAGGGUGAAAGGGGGGGAUCGCACGACCUCUCGCUCUUGGAGCGGCCGAUGUCGGAUUAGCUAGUUGGUGGGGUAAGGGCCCACCAAGGCGACGAUCCGUAGCGGGUCUGAGAGGACGACCAGCCACACGGGGACUGAGACACGGCCCAGACUCCUACGGGAGGCAGCAGUGGGGAAUUUGGGACAAUGGACGCAAGUCUGAUCCAGCCAUGCCGCGUGCGGGAAGAAGGCCUUCGGGUUGUAAACCGCUUUUGUCAGAGAAGAAAUCUUCUGGGUUAAUACCUCGGGAGGAUGACGGUAUCUGAAGAAUAAGCACCGGCUAACUACGUGCCAGCCGCCGCGGUAA
RNAcentral lists this ribosomal RNA (498 nucleotides) under uncultured bacterium. RNAcentral describes it as "partial 16S ribosomal RNA". It matches the Rfam family "Bacterial small subunit ribosomal RNA", at positions 29 to 523 of the family's 1533-position model. The record is from RNAcentral.